Molecule: ribosomal RNA, 512 nt
Filed under: uncultured bacterium
Lineage: Bacteria
Description: bacterial SSU rRNA
Rfam family: Bacterial small subunit ribosomal RNA
Source: RNAcentral
GACGAACGCUGGCGGCGUGCUUAACACAUGCAAGUGGAGCGACGAACCAGGCUUCGGCCUGGGGCAGAGCCGCGAACGGGUGAGUAACACGUGGGUAACCUGCCCCGACGACUGGGACAACCCGGGGAAACCCGGGCUAAUACCGGAUGUGCUCCUCUCGCGUCAGUGAGAGGUGGAAAGGAAGCUUCGGCCUCCGCAUCGGGAUGGGCCCGCGGCCCAUUAGCUUGUUGGUGAGGUAAUGGCUCACCAAGGCUGCGAUGGGUAGCUGGUCUGAGAGGACGAUCAGCCACACUGGGACUGAGACACGGCCCAGACUCCUACGGGAGGCAGCAGUGGGGAAUCUUGCGCAAUGCGCGACAGCGUGACGCAGCAACGCCGCGUGGGGGAAGAAGGCCUUCGGGUUGUAAACCCCUUUCAGGAGGGACGAAGCUCGGGCGGUGAACAGCCGACCCGUGUGACGGUACCUCCAGAAGAAGCCCCGGCUAACUACGUGCCAGCCGCCGCGGUAACAC